UUUACGCCGUUCGUUGAAGGGGUGAAAAGGACAGAAAAAGUAGGAUACAGUCAAUUGAUUAAUUGCAAUUGAUCGUUCAAAGAGAAAAAUCAUCUCAACCAACUUCGUACUGCUCAUCAUCAAAGAUCACAACACAAAAUACAUCUGUCAAUUUUUGCGUAUUUGAACAUUUUUUUUCAACAUUCGUGUUACACAAACAAACAAAAACAGCAGUUCAACACAACUCAGUGGGCCGGUUCUUUUUGUCCUUUUAAAUUUCAAUGACGACUGUCCAGUCUGAAUGAUUAGUAUAGCGAUGGAAAUAACAAAUGCGGAUGGAAAUGGUUGAUUUCAACGAAUCAAAGAUAGAAACUCUUCUCGAGUUUUCACAUCCUGCUGAAAAGUUCCCAACAUGCAGCUGGUUGUAGUUUUGGCGGAGUACUUUUGCACACCUCGCAUCACCAUGCACAUGUGACUGGCUUCAAUGACCACUCCCACGCCGGACGGUUGUACCGCUUCGACAACGGCAUUAGCAAUUUGCUUAGUCAAACGUUCCUAUUUCAACAAUGCGCGCCAAUUUGCUCAGACCGAGAAUUUUUUUGUUGGGCAAAUAGCCGAUCGAAACGCGGCCAAUGAACGGUAUCAAAUGAUGCUCGCACAUGGAAAACAUUUCAAUAUCACGAACAAUAACCAUUUCAUCAUGAUCUUCGUCAAAAACUGCGUCAUUCAAAACUUUUGUCAAAUCAGUACUGUAUCCGGUUGUGAAGAAAAGCAUCGCUUGGGCAGCUCUUUGAGGUGUUUUCUGAAGACCAUCUCGGUGGCAAUCUUCGCCGACGAGUUUCAAAAUUUGCUCAUAACAAGCUGCCAGAUCGUUCUGAAUUUCCUGUUCAGAUCGUUGCUCCACGUUGAGAAAAGUCGACUUCUGAUCAUUAUCUGCAGCUGAAUGCAGGCCGUUACUCGAGUCGACGACCAUAGAACGCUUCCCAAAUGCAUUAGUCAAUGAACUACUACUCCGACUUGAGUCACCAACUCGAACAACAGCUCUGACGGAACGAUUGUCGAACAUAUCGAAUUACAAAAAAAUAAUAAUUAUUGUUUUUCUUUCCACUAAAUAUCUUCAAUUGUAAAAAUUGAGUUGGCCAAAUUAUACGGAAUAAGUGAAAACUAGAGAAAAAGCUCGUUUAAAGCAAACAAUCCGCAUCAUCGUCACCAACAUCCGCAUGAGUUGAGCGAACGAACGGCUGCUGUAUUUGUCGAACGCGCGCUUAUAGACGACCAGUUGCUACCUAAAUUGUCUGGCCGAUUAGAAUAAUGUAGGUAAGGGAAGUCGGCAAAACGGAUCCGUAACUUCGGAACAAGGAUUGGCUCUAAGGGCUGGGCCGAUCGGGCUGAGGUUUCAAGCGUGCAGUGUAUGCUUGGCUUAGUUGUGUUGAGGACUUGUUCACUUGCCACCGGUUGUUCGGCUGGUCGAGUGUAUUCGAGUCUGAAGCAGAGCUGGCCGACAGACCGGCACGUGCAGAACCUGAGCUGCGCGGCUGUCCGUUUUCGUGUACAGACCGUUUCGGUCGGCAUUCAACAGCCAACUUAGAACUGGCACGGACACAAGGAAUCUGACUGUAUAAUUAAAACAAAGCAUUGCGAUGGCCGAUGAUCGGUGAUGACGCAAUGCGAUUCCUGCCCAGUGCUCUGAAUGUCAAAGUGAAGAAAUUCAAUCAAGCGCGGGUAAACGGCGGGAGUAACUAUGACUCUCUUAAGGUAGCCAAAUGCCUCGUCAUCUAAUUAGUGACGCGUAUGAAUGGAUCAACAAGAUUCCUUCUGUCCCUAUCUACUAUCUAGCGAAACCACAGCCAAGGGAACGGGCUUGGCAAAAUCAGCGGGGAAAGAAGACCCUGUUGAGCUUGACUCUAGUCUGACUCUGUGAAGAGACAUGAAAGGUGUAGCAUAGGUGGGAGAUUGUCAAUUUGCCAUCGUUCACGCGAUGGUCCGGUGAUCGCCAAUGAAAUACCACUACUUUGAUCGUUUCUUUACUUAUUCGGUAAAGCGAAAAAAUUGUGGCCAAUUUGGCGGCGUUUAUGUCGCUGUUGGUCAUUGUUUUCAUGUUGGAUUGAAGCUUUGUUUACAGCCGUCGCUUUGUGUCUUCAUUUGGCGCAUUGUUGUACUGGGUUAUCCCAGUGUGUGAUGUGGUCACAAUGGAUGAUCGGCGAUAGGCUUGAAGUGAUUCGCUCCGGAAACAGUGUCAGACGGGGAGUUUGACUGGGGCGGUACAUCUGUUAAACGAUAACGCAGGUGUCCUAAGGUAAGCUCAGCGAGGACAGAAACCUCGCCUAGAGUAAACGGGCACAAGCUUACUUGAUUUUGAUUUCCAGUACGAAUAGAAACCGCGAAAGCGUGGCCUAUCGAUCCUUUUGAUUGUGUAGAUUUCAUGCAAGAGGUGUCAGAAAAGUUACCACAGGGAUAACUGGCUUGUGGCAGCCAAGCGUCCAUAGCGACGUUGCUUUUUGAUCCUUCGAUGUCGGCUCUUCCUAUCAUUGCGAAGCAGAAUUCGCCAAGCGUUGGAUUGUUCACCCACCAAUAGGGAACGUGAGCUGGGAUUAGACCGUCGUGAGACAGGUUAGUUUUACCCUACUGAUGACAAGUCGUUGCGAUAGUAAUCCUGCUCAGUACGAGAGGAACCGCGGGAUCAGACAUUUGGUUCAUGCGCUCGGCUGAAAGGCCGGUGGCGCGAAGCUAGCAUCUGCAAGAUUAUGACUGAACGCCUCUAAGUCAGAAUCUUUUCUAGUCAUUGGCAACGAUAAGUUGCGUCCAGACUCGAUGCGAGGAAACGAUUAGGCUUUGCUGCUAUACGGCGAAGCCAUUAUCAGACCACGGUAGCAGGCAGUAUGGGAUUGUUACGAAGAAGCAAUUUUUUGAAGUCAGUUGAAUUCAAUGAAACUGCUAACAAUUCCACUGCGAAUGACUCCAUUCGAAUCAAU
RNAcentral lists this ribosomal RNA (2951 nucleotides) under Trichinella spiralis. RNAcentral's name for it is "eukaryotic LSU rRNA". The stretch from base 1284 to 2923 matches the Rfam family "Eukaryotic large subunit ribosomal RNA", at positions 1891 to 3399 of the family's 3401-position model. The record is from RNAcentral. Lineage: Eukaryota; Metazoa; Nematoda; Enoplea; Trichinellida; Trichinellidae.